CACACCGCCCGUCACACCAUGAGAGCUGUUUGUACCCAAAAUCAUCUUAGCCAACCUGUAAAGGAGGCGGGUGCCUAAGGUAUGUAUGGUAAUUGGGGUG
This 100-nucleotide ribosomal RNA is filed under the name uncultured bacterium. RNAcentral describes it as "partial 16S ribosomal RNA". The record is from RNAcentral.